GUUGACAUGACUGCAUAGAAUACUAACAGCCAAACUGUUCCAGUUUAGGAUGGCAUCAUUUUAGGGUGCUCCUUGCAAGAUUUCUCAGGGAGGAGUGAAAAGAAUAACCAGAAGAUUUGUCCAAGAGCCAAGGACACUUGUGGAGAGCUUCAAAAAGACCUGGAAAUAUCAGAAGUGACAUAGUAGCUGGCAGCACAGACCGUCACACAAGGCAUUUUAAGGAUAACUUCAUUUAAUCUUCCCAGAAAGAAAGAAAAAUCCUUGUACUGCAACCAUAUUCCACCAUCUGGCCACCUGCGAGAACGGCAAUUACACUAAACAGGAGAUAAGAGAACUGGAGGUCUCUGUUUUCUGAAAACGAUUAUCGGUGCGUGACCGCAAAACGCAGGAAGUGCAAGAAGCCCAGACCCGAGCUUACGAGAGAGUACAUGAAACAAAUAGACAAUAUGCCUUAUCCCAGCCAGCCGGUGAUCGAUAUUCUUAAUAGGAUGACACAUACAUUCAUAUAAUACAAGGCACAGUAAGUAAGAACUGGACAAACUGGUGAAACAUUCUACUGUGUAGUCAACGCUGCCCCAUUACUGAAGGAAUCAUUUAAAGUGACGGUUUACCUUACAUAUAUGGAGGAAUUGAGUAAACGGUAAUACCGAGAUAUACUUUUAUUAUCUUAUUAUUAUAACAACCUCAUUAAGUAGUUAUAAUGCUCUUAUAAUACCAUCAUAGGGAGACUGAGACAGAAUGAAG
Hyla sarda is the source of this 744-nucleotide long non-coding RNA. RefSeq lists it as uncharacterized. The record is from RefSeq and is a predicted model, not a curated record. The transcript has 3 exons. Lineage: Eukaryota; Metazoa; Chordata; Amphibia; Anura; Hylidae.